This 180-nucleotide non-coding RNA is filed under the name Eubacteriaceae bacterium. RNAcentral describes it as "6S RNA". It matches the Rfam family "6S / SsrS RNA". From Rfam's summary of the family: E. coli 6S RNA was the first non coding RNA to be sequenced, but its function was unknown until recently. It consists of 184 nucleotides that fold into an extended hairpin structure with a large single-stranded internal bulge. The 6S RNA specifically associates with RNA polymerase holoenzyme containing the sigma70 specificity factor. Lineage: Bacteria; Bacillati; Bacillota; Clostridia; Eubacteriales; Eubacteriaceae. The record is from RNAcentral.
UAACUCCUGAGAUGUUCGAAAUGAUCCCUAUUAUUUUGAACCUACAUCAUUAUUUUGGGGGUUUGGGUUUUAAAUUAGAUGUCAAGCCUUAGUAUAAAGGAAGGCAGAAUAUUUAAACAGAACACCCACCUAGUCAAGGCUAGGCACUCAAAAUAUAGGGGACGGCAUUUUGGGCUAUCC